AGGGAAAGAGAAAGACGACGCAGCUGUUCGAAAAGGAGAGGGAUAUGGGGAAGCAGGGGAUUCAGAGACGACGAGAUGCUAGAAAAUUAUGACCAACCCACUCACCAACUCUUACUUGUUAUUGGGAGCUUUAAAGUUUUGUCACAGAUUCUGGUGAAGACAAGCUUUAGAAAGCGUGGAGCGAGCUCUCCGGUCUGAGAGUCAGAGACAGGCCGGCAGGACUAGCGGGGGUCUGUGUUAGACUCCACAGCACGCGCUUCACGCUCUGGCUCAGCUGAUUGGCCGUGACGCGUGUUUCCCAAACCAUCACGUACUUCCGGUAACGAGUGGCGAUGGGGAGAGAAGAUGGAGGGAGGUAGGGAAGGUUCCGUUUAGACAUUCGCAGUCAACUGGCAGCGCUGGAAAGAUUGAAGACGAUCUGUCGGCUAAAUCUAAAACACAUGGGACAUCGCGCUCUGCUUGCUUACACGGUGCUGAGUGAGUCUCCACUCUCGCCUUCUCUUUUACUUCAAGAAAUCUGAAUAUGAAGCGAAAAGAUCCGUUGGCAACAGCUCUGAGCUCUACAAUCCACGCAAUCGGUGACAACACCCGGAACAUCAAUCUAACUACAACAACCUAAGUUAUGAACUGGAGUGACCAAGAUGGGUUCAAGCCCUGCAUUUUUUAUACUAAGCAUGUGCAAGUUCUCCUAGUGAUCACUCUGAAGAGAACCACUGAAACCUACUGCAUUGAAACUUAUUGGUGAAUGUCCUGUGAAUUUA
Molecule: long non-coding RNA, 761 nt
Organism: Pomacea canaliculata
Lineage: Eukaryota; Metazoa; Mollusca; Gastropoda; Architaenioglossa; Ampullariidae
Exons: 3
Source: RefSeq, a predicted model, not a curated record